Molecule: ribosomal RNA, 588 nt
Filed under: Rothia kristinae
Lineage: Bacteria; Bacillati; Actinomycetota; Actinomycetes; Micrococcales; Micrococcaceae
Description: bacterial SSU rRNA
Rfam family: Bacterial small subunit ribosomal RNA
Source: RNAcentral
UGCUUGCACCGGGUGGAUGAGUGGCGAACGGGUGAGUAAUACGUGAGUGACCUGCCUUUGACUCUGGGAUAAGCCUGGGAAACUGGGUCUAAUACCGGAUGCGACUACUGCCCGCAUGGGCUGGUGGUGGAAAGGGUUAUGUACUGGUCUUAGAUGGGCUCACGGCCUAUCAGCUGGUUGGUGGGGUAAUGGCCUACCAAGGCGACGACGGGUAGCCGGCCUGAGAGGGUGACCGGCCACACUGGGACUGAGACACGGCCCAGACUCCUACGGGAGGCAGCAGUGGGGAAUAUUGCACAAUGGGCGCAAGCCUGAUGCAGCGACGCCGCGUGAGGGAUGACGGCCUUCGGGUUGUAAACCUCUUUCAGCAGGGAAGAAGCGGAAGUGACGGUACCUGCAGAAGAAGCGCCGGCUAACUACGUGCCAGCAGCCGCGGUAAUACGUAGGGCGCAAGCGUUGUCCGGAAUUAUUGGGCGUAAAGAGCUCGUAGGCGGCUUGUCGCGUCUGCUGUGAAAGCCCGGGGCUUAACUCCGGGUGUGCAGUGGGUACGGGCAGGCUAGAGUGCAGUAGGGGUAACUGGAAUUCCUG